GGAUUUCAAUCUCAUGGAAGAUCGUCCAAUAGAUAUAUCCAAAGUCCCAAGAGUUUUUGGUUGAUUUAAGGGAAGGAAGGAGUUUGUCUGCUUCUGAUUACAAGCUUGUUUUUUUUUCUUUCAAGUUUUUGGUUGAUUUAAGAGAAGAAAGGAGUCUGACUACUAUCAAGAAUCUAUUACACAUCCCGAUAAAGCCACGAUCUUCAGAAUCUUCAGUUUUUUGUACCAACAAGGUUUUGGUUUCCUCCAAUUUAGUUUUAGUUAAGGUUUUCAAUUCACUUGGACUAUUAAUUUUGCAGGUUUUCCCAAAAUUUUCAAAUAUGUGCAGUACAAUUGGAUGCAUCGUUCUCCUUAAAACAUUUGAUAUACUGCAGCAUAUUUCACCCAGAAAAAAGUAUGCCCUAACUGCCACCAUUAAUGGAUAGAGAAUCACCAUUAAUGGUAACGAGAACUGGGUCUUUUAGUUUUGUGUACCUUAGUUCUACUUAGGUUAUGAAACUAGAGUGAACAAUUCCUUACAUUGGAAUCAUUUAUUAUUGAGGUCACGAAUAUUUGGAAAAUGUGACAUUGCCAACACCAUUGUGAAUCGGUCCGUAAUAAAACUGGAGAGAUGA
Papaver somniferum (opium poppy) is the source of this 614-nucleotide long non-coding RNA. RefSeq lists it as uncharacterized. The transcript has 3 exons. The record is from RefSeq and is a predicted model, not a curated record. NCBI's taxonomy places the organism in Eukaryota, Viridiplantae, Streptophyta, Magnoliopsida, Ranunculales, Papaveraceae.